RNAcentral lists this ribosomal RNA (910 nucleotides) under Frigoribacterium sp. IF7R2A. Its description in RNAcentral is "bacterial SSU rRNA". It matches the Rfam family "Bacterial small subunit ribosomal RNA", at positions 74 to 997 of the family's 1533-position model. Lineage: Bacteria; Bacillati; Actinomycetota; Actinomycetes; Micrococcales; Microbacteriaceae. The record is from RNAcentral.
GAGAGCUUGCUCUUCUGAUUAGUGGCGAACGGGUGAGUUCACGUGAGUAACCUGCCCUUGACUCUGGGAUAAGCACUGGAAACGGUGUCUAAUACCGGAUACGAGCUUCAGCCGCAUGGCUAGGAGCUGGAAAGAAUUUUGGUCAAGGAUGGACUCGCGGCCUAUCAGCUAGUUGGUGAGGUAACGGCCCACCAAGGCGACGACGGGUAGCCGGCCUGAGAGGGUGACCGGCCACACUGGGACUGAGACACGGCCCAGACUCCUACGGGAGGCAGCAGUGGGGAAUAUUGCACAAUGGGCGAAAGCCUGAUGCAGCAACGCCGCGUGAGGGACGACGGCCUUCGGGUUGUAAACCUCUUUUAGUAGGGAAGAAGCGAAAGUGACGGUACCUGCAGAAAAAGCACCGGCUAACUACGUGCCAGCAGCCGCGGUAAUACGUAGGGUGCAAGCGUUGUCCGGAAUUAUUGGGCGUAAAGAGCUCGUAGGCGGUUUGUCGCGUCUGCUGUGAAAACCCGAGGCUCAACCUCGGGCCUGCAGUGGGUACGGGCAGACUAGAGUGCGGUAGGGGAGAUUGGAAUUCCUGGUGUAGCGGUGGAAUGCGCAGAUAUCAGGAGGAACACCGAUGGCGAAGGCAGAUCUCUGGGCCGUAACUGACGCUGAGGAGCGAAAGCAUGGGGAGCGAACAGGAUUAGAUACCCUGGUAGUCCAUGCCGUAAACGUUGGGAACUAGAUGUAGGGGCCAUUCCACGGUUUCUGUGUCGCAGCUAACGCAUUAAGUUCCCCGCCUGGGGAGUACGGCCGCAAGGCUAAAACUCAAAGGAAUUGACGGGGGCCCGCACAAGCGGCGGAGCAUGCGGAUUAAUUCGAUGCAACGCGAAGAACCUUACCAAGACUUGACAUAUACGAGAAC